CUAGACUACACUGGCUGCCCCCCGCCCCCCGACUUUUUGUACCCUCCUCAGUCCUCGGUAACCAGGCUUCCAGCCAGUCCACUCAAAGUGCUCCGGCAGUGGUCACCAACGACCCAAUGCCCAGGGCAGUGGCCUUCCUUCCAUCCCCAUACUGCGUGACCUCCUGGCCCCAUACCAUACCACUCACCACCGUUCCCUGCUCCCUCGAUGAGACUGGUCUCUGGACGUCUUCCCCACGGGCCCUCCUCUGACCUCAGACGGCUCUUUCCCGUUCACUCCUGCUCCAGCUGCCAUUGUUGUUCCACAUUCUGUCUUAAGCCUUCACGUCGUCUUUCAUCUGCACUCUUCCUGGACGUUCUUUUGUACAUCCACAGCCUCUGCCACCCGUAUACAGUGACGAAUCCCCAGAGCUCUCCUGUUCUCAGCCCAGACUCACCUUUGUUUCCACCCAGACGUCCUGCAGAACCUCCAGACCCGUGUGUCCAGAAUCACAUCCGUUAGCUUCCCUCUUCCUGGCCAGGGGUAAAAUCAUCUCCAGAAUCCUCCAGCAGACUUCCCUCUUCAUCUCACUGGCCAAAAUCAAGUCACAUGACCAUCCCUGAUCCAUCUCUUGCACAGGGGAACAGGAUCGCUAUGAUUGGCUGUGACCAGUCAUGAGUCAUCUCUUUGCUCAGAGAGCAGCACAAUUGACCGGAUACUCACCCUCUUUGAGUUUCUGGGGGUGGUGAGGCCCAUCUCCAGUCUUGGGAGCAGUCUGUGUGGAGGGCCUUCUCUGGGCCAGGCCUUGUGCAGAUGAAGGAAAACAGUCCCCACCUUCAAAUGCACGCAGGAGGCAGGAAGGAGCCACUACACGGUCUGCAGGUCUUUCUCUGUGAUCUGUUCUUCUGCCCAGAAAUUAGCUCGUGUUCCUUCUUUUCAGCUGGCACUGAAGUCGUUUGCUGCUAAGCAUGACGUUAAUGAUGUAAAGUGACACAGGCAAGUUUCUCAAGUGGUGGAAACACCUCGUUCUUUUAAUGGCCCUCGACUUCUCCCCACCCUCUAGGGAAAGUCUGAACUUCCGGCCUAUUGGGUCAUAACCAAGGGACUGAGAAUUUAGAAUCAGGAAUGGAUACAGCUGGAGGGGUCUCAGUGAGCUCUUCCUUUUUAAAUGGGGAAACAAAUGUCUAAGAUUUGGUCUGGGAACUGCUGCUGCUUCUGGGCAAAAGAUGGCAAAGACGUCUCCUUGAGGGCUGGGUCAGAACCGUUUCUCCGAUUCAUUUUGCUCAGUGCUAUAGGCUCACUUUUGUCUGUUGAAAAGGAUUGCGCUAUCAUCGUGGUGUACUAGGGUAGAUUCAUCCGGGGUGUGGUACGCCCUCGCGUGCCAAGACCUCGCAGUCAGGUGAUUUGAUUGACCUCCCUCCCUGGACAGACUUCUGUGCUUUUAUUUCGAGAGGCUGGAUCUGAAAGGAGUUCGGGGUCAGGGG
RNAcentral lists this long non-coding RNA (1463 nucleotides) under Equus asinus (donkey). Its description in RNAcentral is "lncRNA (ENSEASG00005031842.1)". Lineage: Eukaryota; Metazoa; Chordata; Mammalia; Perissodactyla; Equidae. The record is from RNAcentral.